This 374-nucleotide ribosomal RNA is filed under the name uncultured bacterium. Its description in RNAcentral is "bacterial SSU rRNA". It matches the Rfam family "Bacterial small subunit ribosomal RNA", at positions 525 to 896 of the family's 1533-position model. The record is from RNAcentral.
ACAGAGGGUGCGAGCGUUAAUCGGAAUUAUUGGGCGUAAAGGGUGUGUAGGUGGUUUAAGUGAGUCAGAUGUGAAAUCCCCGGGCUUAACCUGGGAGAGUCGUUUGAUACUGCUUAGCUAGAGUACUAUAGAGGAUAGUGGAAUUUCCAGUGUAGCGGUGAAAUGCGUAGAUAUUGGAAGGAACACCAGUGGCGAAGGCGACUAUCUGGAUAGAUACUGACACUGAAACACGAAAGCAUGGGUAGCGAACAGGAUUAGAUACCCUGGUAGUCCAUGCUGUAAACGAUGAGAACUUGCUGUUGGGUACGUAAAAGUACUUAGUAGCGAAGCAAACGCGUUAAGUUCUCCGCCUGGGGAGUACGGCCGCAAGGCUA